RNAcentral lists this ribosomal RNA (1523 nucleotides) under uncultured prokaryote. RNAcentral describes it as "partial 16S ribosomal RNA". It matches the Rfam family "Bacterial small subunit ribosomal RNA". The record is from RNAcentral.
AGAGUUUGAUCCUGGCUCAGAACGAACGCUGGCGGCGUGCUUAACACAUGCAAGUCGAACGAGAAAGUUUCUUCGGAAACGAGUAAAGUGGCGCACGGGUGAGUAACGCGUAGAUAACCUUCCAAGCGACUGGGAUAGCCCCAGGGAAACCUGGGCUAAUACCGCAUACAGCGGAGGGAGUAGGUGCCCUUCGUGAAAGCUGGCCUCUCCAUGGAAGCUAGCGUCGCCGGAGGAGCGGUCUGCGUACCAUUAGUUUGGUGGGGUAAUGGCCUACCAAGACUACGAUGGUUAACGGGUCUGAGAGGAUGAUCCGUCACACUGGCACUGAAACACGGGCCAGACUCCUACGGGAGGCAGCAGUGAGGAAUAUUGCGCAAUGGGGGCAACCCUGACGCAGCGACGCCGCGUGGGUGAGGAAGGCUUUCGGGUCGUAAAGCUCUGUCAGAAGGGAAGAAAUGCUUAUAGGUUAAUACCUUGUAAGUUUGACGGUACCUUCAAAGGAAGCACCGGCUAACUCCGUGCCAGCAGCCGCGGUAAUACGGAGGGUGCAAGCGUUGUUCGGAAUCACUGGGCGUAAAGCGCGCGUAGGCGGCCGAGUAAGUCGUAUGUGAAAGACCGGGGCUCAACUCCGGUAUUGCAUGCGAUACUGCUUGGCUUGAGUAUCAGAGAGGCAAGUGGAAUUCCCGGUGUAGCGGUGGAAUGCGUAGAUAUCGGGAAGAACACCUGUGGCGAAGGCGGCUUGCUGGGCCUUUUCUGACGCUGAAGUGCGAAAGCGUGGGGAGCAAACAGGAUUAGAUACCCUGGUAGUCCACGCCGUAAACGAUGGGUACUAGGCGUUGGGAGGAUUUGACCCUCUCAGUGCCGUAGCUAACGCGUUAAGUACCCCGCCUGGGGAGUACGGCCGCAAGGCUGAAACUCAAAGGAAUUGACGGGGGCCCGCACAAGCGGUGGAGCAUGUGGUUUAAUUCGAUGCAACGCGAAGAACCUUACCUGGACUUGACAUGUCGGUAGUACUCUCCUGGAAACAGGAGGGGACCCUUAGGGGAGCCGUCACAGGUGCUGCAUGGCUGUCGUCAGCUCGUGUCGUGAGAUGUUGGGUUAAGUCCCGCAACGAGCGCAACCCUCGCCCGUAGUUGCUAACGGGUUAUGCUGAGGACUCUACGGGGACUGCCGGUGAUAAACCGGAGGAAGGUGGGGAUGACGUCAAGUCCUCAUGGCCCUUAUGCCCAGGGCGACACACGUGCUACAAUGGCCGGUACAGAGGGCAGCAAUACCGCGAGGUGGAGCGAAUCCCAAAAAACCGGUCUAAGUUCGGAUUGCAGUCUGCAACUCGACUGCAUGAAGCUGGAAUCGCUAGUAAUCGUGGGUCAGCCAUACCACGGUGAAUACGUUCCCGGGCCUUGUACACACCGCCCGUCAAGCGAUGGAAGCUGGGGGUACCCGAAGCCGGUGGCCUAACCCUUCGGGGAGGGAGCCGUCGAAGGUAAACUCAGUGACUGGCGCUAAGUCGUAACAAGGUAACC